CCUAGAGGGAAGUCCCCUCACGACGCUGGGAGCGAGACUCACCGGGAACUGGAAACCCCCCACAUCCCUCUGUUUAAGAGCCCACUGUGCGCCUCCGGCUGGAGUCCGCCCCGAAGACUCCUGGUCUCUCUCUCUCACACUCACGAGUCGUUUCCUUCCUCAUCUCUCUCCGAGUCAGCCUCUACGCCUAGCCGCAACCUGGUACCGGAACCUUCCCCCAACCAGAACUCAUUAUCACAACUGUGCCAGUCCUCCAACAGCAGCUUCCCGACUGUGGAUGUUUGAACUUUUAUCUUUGUCAAUAAACAUCUAAAUUU
Poecilia latipinna (sailfin molly) is the source of this 317-nucleotide long non-coding RNA. RefSeq lists it as uncharacterized. The transcript is spliced from 2 exons. Lineage: Eukaryota; Metazoa; Chordata; Actinopteri; Cyprinodontiformes; Poeciliidae. The record is from RefSeq and is a predicted model, not a curated record.